This 610-nucleotide ribosomal RNA is filed under the name uncultured bacterium. RNAcentral's name for it is "bacterial SSU rRNA". It matches the Rfam family "Bacterial small subunit ribosomal RNA", at positions 9 to 586 of the family's 1533-position model. The record is from RNAcentral.
GAGUUUGAUCCUGGCUCAGGAUGAACGCUGGCGGCGUGCCUAAUACAUGCAAGUCGAACGAAACUUCUUUAUCAUCGAGUGCUUGCACUCACCGGUAAAGGGUUGAGUGGCGGACGGGUGAGUAACACGUGGGCAACCUGCCCAAAAGAGGGGGAUAACACUUGGAAACAGGUGCUAAUACCGCAUAACCAUAGUUACCGCAUGGUAGCUAUGUAAAAGGUGGCUAUGCUACCGCUUUUGGAUGGGCCCGCGGCGCAUUAGCUAGUUGGUGGGGUAAAGGCUUACCAAGGCAAUGAUGCGUAGCCGAACUGAGAGGUUGAUCGGCCACAUUGGGACUGAGACACGGCCCAAACUCCUACGGGAGGCAGCAGUAGGGAAUCUUCCACAAUGGGCGAAAGCCUGAUGGAGCAACGCCGCGUGGGUGAAGAAGGUCUUCGGAUCGUAAAACCCUGUUGUUAGAGAAGAAAGUGCGUGAGAGUAACUGUUCACGUUUCGACGGUAUCUAACCAGAAAGCCACGGCUAACUACGUGCCAGCAGCCGCGGUAAUACGUAGGUGGCAAGCGUUAUCCGGAUUUAUUGGGCGUAAAGGGAACGCAGGCGGUCUUUUAA